GGAAGGCGCGCCCUUGCGACGUCACGGAAGGCGCGCCCUUGUGACGUCGCAGGGGACCACCACUCACGCAGAGCCAAUCGGAACUCGCGGUGGGGCUGCUGGGUCUUCCAGGAGCGCGCAUGAGCGGACGCUGCCUAUGGGUGGCCGGGCGGGAUGUAACCGGCUGCUGAGCUGGCAGUUCUGUGUCGCUAGGCUUCUGCCCGGCCGCCGCCGCACAUAAGCUGCGAGGAGGAGCUUUACGACUGCCCGGUCUUCGGGGCCGGGCGCAGCAAGGGCCAGACUCUGCGCUAGCAGGCGCUGCGCGCCAACCGGCCAGCACCUGUCGCAGAAGGUGCAACCGAUCGCACUGUCGCGCAGAAGCUCCUCAAUGGCCAGCGCCAGCUGCAGCCCCGGCCGCCCACUCGCCUCAAUCUGAGCCUGGCUGGCAGCCUGCUAUCAAUUACAUUGAUAGUAAAUUUGAGGACUACCUAAAUGCAGAAUCGCGAGUGAACAGAUGUCAGAUGCCUUGUAACAGGGUGCAGUGUUGUUUAUACUUCAUUGCUCCUUCAGGACAUGGACCAUUACAUAACUGAAGACUCCCACCUUCAGGCAGGAUUGGGUAGUACAUGUUUGUAACUACCUGGCAUUGCCUUUUGUUGAGGGUCUCCCUAUGUUGCCCAGGCUGGCCUCAAACUCCUGGGCUCAAGUUAUCCUUCUGCCUCGGCCUCCCAAAAUGCUGGGAUUGCAGGCAUGAGUCACCGCACCUGGCCACCUUUCCACACUUAAGAGAUUCCUGGGAUACUGCGAAGCAGGAGUCCAUCUCCAGACAUGAGGAGCAGGUGGGCUAAAGGAAACAGGACUGGGGAGUCUUGGAGGGGCAGAGCAAUGCCCAGGGACACAGAAACUUUUGAAUAAAGACAAGAGAGACCGACUCUUCGCCUACAUCUAAAGCAAAUGAAAACAUAAAAAUAAAUGAUGGCAAGAAACUAAACUAAAAAUACGCUACCCCUGAAAGUAUGUGACACUGGAUGUACUAUCUAAUUGGUCUGCCACAGGCAGAGAAUGAAGUACUUCAGAUAAGUUAAUUUAUCAAAUAACUAAAAUUAGAUAUAUAAACUUUACGAUUCUGAAAACUUUUUUCCUACAGAUGUGUGUACUUUAGGAAACACAGCAUAUUUAACAUUUUUAUAAAUUUCAGUUGCACACCGUGCAGCUUUCAGGAAGCUUUCACACCGUGCACUGCCCUGCAUGCACCUCCCGAGCCUCGGGCUGUUCAUGCCUGGCUGUCAGAAGUCACCUCCUGGCUGCCAGAGGGGCGAGGGGGCAGGCUGUUCUUCUCAGUGCUAUAAGCAAGCCCAGGACUCCAAGGGAAUGAUAACAAAUGUGUAAAAACCACAGUCACAUUAACCUAUAGGCUCAGGACCCAGUUCUACUUCCUCCAGACAGCUUUUGGGUACUGGUCUCCCUCUCUGUGUUUACAGCCGUCCUGGGUUUGCUGGGCACCUCCGAGUUCAUGGAAGUGCAGCUCCUCACUGCAGUUGGGACACACUUACUCCACUUUGACAAAGGGGGUGUUAUUUUCAGCAGUGGGUGAACAGCAGUGAACAAACCAAGCCCCUGCUCCUGGGGCUCAACUGGGAUGGGGACGCAGACAACUUAAACACGUGACCACUGGCAUACCUAAGGGCCAGGGAAUGCUGCGGACAUGAUGGGGGUGGCGAGGCCAAGGUCCCAGCCAGCAGAAGGUAAGCAUGAGCAAAUCACUUUUUAGAGGUAACUUUGCUGGACUUGUGAAGAAUGGUGUGCAAGGUCCAGAGCGACUGCAGGAGAGGGAAGGUGGGAUUCCCACAGAGCAGGAGCACAGAUGAGCCAAGCAAGGCCCUGCUUAGAAGGCAGCAAUCAACAGAGAUGCACAGACCUGUGAGGGUGCCGGGACAGCCAUGCAACAAUGCAGCCCUUUUGCUUCCUAAGGUCACCAGUUCCCUCGCUCCACCUCUGAGAGGUGGUUUGGAGAAACACAGCCCUUCUCAAGAGGGUUGCAAGACAGAUGGUCAAGAAGUGCUACUAUAAAGCAACUCAGUAUGGUCUGAACUAUCAGAGAGCUACAUGGAGAAAUAGUUACUGCUAAACAGACCUCUCUGCUGAUGUUUUUCCCGGCUACUUAAGUACUGAAAAUUUCCACAAGGCUGAGUCAAAUCUGCAUUUCAUCAUCUAUAAGAAAGGUACCUAUCGAGAACACCCUGCUGGCCAGUGUGUAAAUAUCUAAAGGAGGACUCAGAAAACACCGGGGAAGUCCAGCCUGCACGUGGUGGCUGGGCUUCAGUGAAGCAUGGAGCACAACAGGAGUUGUAAGUAGUAGUUACAUCAGCAGCCCUGGAAAUUCUGCUCAGGACCAAACUGAACAAAUAACAUUAUCUAAAGCUUACAAUUAUUUAACUCCCUAAAUUUUCUGUCCUCCCAGUAGCACUUUCAAAUGCCUAAAAGCAAUUAAAAGAAACAUUUUUCCAAUGUCUCACAGAACCAUUAGAACCACAAAAUUAAUAGCUUCAUAAACUAUAGCUUCUAUGUUAUCCAUAAUAGAAUGAAGGUGCAUAAACCACAUAGUAAUUAAUCUUUGGACAAAAGCAAACAAUAAAUGGAAUAUAUGGCUAAGAUCCUUUCUUUUUGAGUGUGGCCCAAGAUAAAAAUUUCUUCCAAAAGGGUAUCAUUAAUGCAAUAAGGCUUUUGUGGAAUUCUAUUUUGUAUGAAAUUCCUGUUUUCUAUUAGCUACUUCUUCCUCUGUGACACAAGCCUCAUUCCUUGUGAAAAACACGAAGCAGAAAACAUUCGUGAAAUCAUCAGGUAAAGAUCCCACGACCUUUCUAUCACUGACACAGUAUGUAGGUACAUGGUACAACCCCCAAGGGACCACCUUGUGGCAUCCUCAGCAACCACAGAGCCACAGGGCAGAUGAGUGUUUGCUCCCACUGAGGCUCUGCAACCUCUGCCACCAAUACUGGAGAAAUCCUCCAACGUCACUGUUUUCUCCUGAACUUGUUCCCUUGUUUUACGAUUAAUACACAGCAAACAGGCACACCUUCAAGCUGCCAAAAGCAUCUUAAACGUUGUACACUUACAAUCUUCAAAAUAUAGUUGUUCAAAAGAGUCAUCAAAGUAGUUUUUGAAAUAGAACACUUACUUUGACCACAUAAUUGAACCUUCGGGUAUCUUGAAUUGCACUUGAGAAGUCUAACCGAUUAAAGGCUUCUCCCAAGGUGCAAUAGCCAUGCCUCUGGAAGAGCAACACAGAAGUUAAAAUUAGUCAAUUAGCCAAAAAGAAUUGGCAGUUAAUGUCAAUUGUGCAAUUAAAAAAAUUUUUGGCAAAGGACAAUUUGUUUUUAUUUUGAAGACUGAUUUUAGAUUUAGAUGAGAGUAUAGUAAAAUUGUAGCAAUGCUAAUAAUUUAAGCUGUUUAUGUAUACCUGAGACACCGUUAACUGACAUUUUUUAGAACCUGCUGAAGUAAUAGCAAAGACAAAUAUUUAUUAAAUAUCUUGCUGGUUUGUUUUGUUGGGGACAAACUGGGGUGUGGACGACGUUAAAGCUAAGAUCAUAAAAGAACUGGAUUCAUUCUAGGCUACGCAACUAAAAAUACAUAAAUCAUCUGAUUAACUGCAUUGUAAGGAUGUAGGUGUUAUAAAUAUCUAGUUGAAACACAGGAUUUCUCUGCAGGGGAGGCCUGCACUGCCCGAGUUUGAAGUAUAACAUGGGAUUUCUCUCCAGAGCAGCCAUGCACUGCCCAGGCUGGAAGUAUGCUCAACCACAAGGAUCAGGGCUGGGAGAGGCGCUUCGGUAGCAAGAAGGUGCCUCUGAAAACCAGCAUUGGGAUGGAGAGGGCUGAAGGCAAGUGCUGGAUGUGACCAUGGGCAGCUUUCAGGCUGGGAGCACGGAUGCCAAGAACCCAAAACACCAAAAAAACUGGUGCUUAGACCCACAGGUCCAAGAACCGAAGGAAGAAAAUGAAACAAUUUAUUUUCAGUACUGUAAACACUGCUGCUAUUCUCUUAGAUGUUUUUCUUCCAUGAUACACCCUUAUCCUGUAUUGGUUUGUAUAGAUUAGCACAUUAGGUUUCAGAAGUCAUUUUAAACUCCAUCUUCAUCCUCCAUAUUUGAAAUAUUUAAAAUCUACAGAUUUUCAGGUCAAAGUUGUAGAGAUAAGUAAGCUAGAAAACAAUAAUAGAAAACAUGAGAUGAUUGGUCUCAAAUUCCAAACAGGUGACUUGAGAUGUCCUAGAGAAAGCAGCUGGAGUCAUAGCACCUUUGCCUCUAACAGCCGAUGCACUCAGAGGCUCAUGUGCUUCUGUGCGUCAACCCCAAUCGCCCUGACGGGUGCACAACUCAACAAAAUAUACUCAUUUAAAACAUCCAAAUAUGUUGACUGAGUGCCUGCUAUGUGGAAAACAUUUUCCUGGGAACUCUGGGGAAAGGAAACACUCAUUUUGAUAUAGAUUAUAAUCUGAAAUCCAUCACAGCUGAGAUUCCACACGAUGGUGCAGCAGACACUUUCCAAGGUCACCACCCAUCUCACAAAAGGAAAUUAAAUCUGAUUCACAGAGCAGACCACAAAGAGCAUGUCUGGACCUAGAACCACAGCAUGUAACCUCGGAAGCAGUGAGACACCAGCCAGCAUGGACAAGCAGCAGGCACUUGCUCUAUACCAGGUGAGGGUGUGGAGACAUGACAUGGUGCAGGGACACCAGCACCCAGUCCUAGUUCUGGUCCCUCUCAGCCUUGUUAGGUUCUGGUUCCUAGGAUUCCAGGGAACAUCCCCACAGCCUCACAAUAAGAUCCUCCUUUCCUGUAUAUGCUACCUUGGAUGGGAUCCUCUGUUCUGUAAUCAGUAUGGCAACAGAGCAGAUGAAAUAUUUAAUGGUCUUUCAUGAGCACUAAAUGUUGUUUUUUACAAACUAGGUUAGAUUCUGUCAAAUAAUCGUCUAAUGGUGUAUUUGAGUGUAUAUUAAGGAUCUGAUUCAUUCUAUACCCACUAACCAUAACCAAACAGAUUAAGUUUUCUUUCUCAGAAUCUAAUCCUUCAGUUUCUUGGAAGCUGGACUAGUUUCAGAGCAUCUACAAACAUUUCUGGAAUAUUUAACUUACCCUGAAAUAACAUAUGAUAGACAGUAAUUCCCUAAAUUAUUUUCCCCAAUUGUUGCAAAAUAAAGCAAAUGCAGAGUUUCUAGGACUAUAAAAGGAACUCAACUUCCCGGAUCCUAGUAAAGAAACAGGAAACAGCUUGAAGCUCUCUGGUUUGUUUUAUGGCUCAUGAAAAAGCUUUAGCCCAACUUGGCAAAAGAAAGGCAGGGAAAGAGUUCACAUGGCUCUGCACAAACCCAACCCAAUUACUAAUUUCAUGUUAGCCACUCUUUAUGUGGAAUUAGAGGGCUCACAGAUGCCCUGCCCUCCAAAACACGCCACAGGGAGGACACAUUCCCAUCAGCAUCAGGAGUUCAUGCUAACACAGAGAAAAUGCGUAUGACUGCAGGAGUCCAUGCUUGGUUUAAAUAGCCCUGCUGUUGACUCAGAUAUGUACAGGUAGGCAGGAACCACACACUGCACACAUAUACCACAUGCCACCACACACCAUACAUCCCACACACCGAUGUGUGCACAAAUACAUGCACAACCAUACAUACACACCAUACAUACAACACACAUACACCAUACACACAACACACACCAAUGUGUGCACAAAUACACAGCCACAUACCACAUGCACAUGCAAGCACACACAAUGGAGAAUCACUGCCUCAAAAGCUCCUCAUAUGCUAUUAUCUGUCAGAAUGUGAACCAUAGAUCUGAUAUUGCAAAAGAAAUGUGUUUUAUGCAACUUUAUUAAUACAUUUAUUUAAUGUGACUCCAUAUUCAACAGAAACAAUCCAAGAUACUCUUUUAUUUAUAAUAGAAUACUUACUUCUUUUGUGCUUUCUUUAUGGACAUAGAUCCAUUUUUCACGAUAAAAACCUAGAAUAAAAAUUACCUUUGUUUUUAAAAUCUGGCAAAUCAUUUCAAAAUGAAGAUUUUAAAGGAAUUUAAAUAAUUUGACAUAUUAACAAAAUUAUCUGACUUACUAUAUUGACAAGAAAUGCUUUUACUUGGUUGAAUGCAAAAGAAUUGCUUUGUUUCUUAAAUCAGUUUAAGAUAUGAACAAUGAUUUCAGACAGUACCAAGUCCUAGUAACUUAGAAGAAAAUUAGUAUUUAUUAAUGACUGAAGCCAUAUGAAGACGUAAAUGAUUAUAAAAUGCAAUUACAUUACCACAUUCCUAUGUACCCUAAUAAAAAGUUCUAUUCUUCUGUUGCUGUGUAUAGUACUCCAUAGAAACAAAUUUUUCAGAUAAAUCUUAAAAGUUUCAAGAAUCACACUAACUGUAUUCUCCAUGUGACCCUAUCUUCUUCAUAAAGUAGUCCCCCCGUAUUCACAGUUUCAUCUUCUACAGUUUCAAUUACCCACAGUCAGCUUUGGUUUGAAAACAUUAAGUGGAAAAUUCCAGAAAUAAACCAUUCAUAAGUUUUAAAUUGUGUGCCAUUCUGGGUGGUGUCAUGAAAUCUCACACCGUCCUGCUCUGUCCUGCCUGGGAUGCAAAUCCUCCCUUUGUCAAGCGAGUCCUACACUACCCGCCCCUUGGUCACUCAGUAGCCAUCUUGGUUAUCGGAUCACCUGUUGAGAUAUCACAGUGCUUGUGUUUAAAGAACCCUUAUUGUACUUCAUAAUAGCCCCAAAGUGCAAGAGCGGUGAUGGUGGCCAUCUUGCUAUAACUGUUUCAUUUUAUUAUUAUUCUCGUUAAUCUCUUACUGCACCUAAUUUAUAAAUUAAACUUUAUUAUAAGUGUGUAUAUACAGAAAAAAAAACAUAGUAUCCAUAAGGUUUGGUAGUAUCCACAGUUUCAGGCAUCCACUGGAGGUCUAUCCCCUGAGGUAAGGGAGCCUACUAUACAUUAACAUGUGUCUUGGUAACUCACAGAUAUGCUGCAUGAUAGAACUCUAUGCCCUCUCACAGAUAGGUCCCACCUCCAGCCUUCCCCUGCUGCCAUCUAACAUCCUAAACUCCAGCUCUGAAUGUCUGUCUCCUGCUGUGAAUCUUCAGUGACUUCAAAACUCAAGUCAGGACACCUCUCAGUUUGGCCUCACUGCUGAAGAUUGAGCUGAAUUCAUGACCAUAAUUCACGCAUUCAGAUUCAUGGGCUGUUUUGUGGGUUUUGCUAUCUCUUAUUUUGUUUUUGCACAUCUUACCCACUGAAACGUUGGGCUGCAAAAAGUUUGAUCACUAAAUAUGUAGGCAAUGCUGGAUACUGGGCUGUUAUUUACAUAUUUGUAUCACCUUUUAUUUCAUAAGAUAGCAUUGUCAGAGUAAUUUAGUAUUUCAACAUAAUCAACAAGUAAAAUAAAAUUAAUGAGAAUGAUCUUA
Long non-coding RNA from Pan troglodytes (chimpanzee), 7420 nucleotides. RefSeq lists it as uncharacterized. The record is from RefSeq and is a predicted model, not a curated record. The transcript is spliced from 6 exons. Lineage: Eukaryota; Metazoa; Chordata; Mammalia; Primates; Hominidae.